GACGAACGCUGGCGGCGUGCCUAACACAUGCAAGUCGAGCGAAGUAAGUAUGAGUGAAGUUUUCGGACUAAACGAUUACUUAUCUUAGCGGCGGACGGGUGAGUAACGCGUGAGAAACCUGCCUUUCACAAAGGGAUAGCCUCGGGAAACUGGGAUUAAUACCUUAUGAUACUUCAUUACCACAUGGUAGAGAAGUCAAAGCGUAAAGCGGUGAAAGAUGGUCUCGCGUCCCAUUAGUUAGUUGGUGAGGUAACGGCUCACCAAGACUGCGAUGGGUAGCCGGCCUGAGAGGGUGAACGGCCACACUGGAACUGAGACACGGUCCAGACUCCUACGGGAGGCAG
Molecule: ribosomal RNA, 344 nt
Filed under: uncultured Bacillota bacterium
Lineage: Bacteria; Bacillati; Bacillota
Description: bacterial SSU rRNA
Rfam family: Bacterial small subunit ribosomal RNA
Source: RNAcentral